AUUGAACGCUGGCGGCAUGCCUAACACAUGCAAGUCGAGCGGAGCGACGGACGGGCGAGUAAUGCCUAGGAAGCUGCCUGGUAGUGGGGGAUAACGUACGGAAACGGGCGCUUAUACCGCAUCCCAUUAGAUGCGCCUAGAUGGGAUUAGCUGGUUGGUGGGGUAAAGGCCUACCAAGGAGACGAUCCGUACCUGGUCUGAGAGGGUGAUGAGUCACACUGGAAUUGAGACACGGUCCAGACUCCUACGGGAGGCAGCAUUGGGGAAUAUUGGACAAUGGGCGAAAGCCUGAUCCAGCCAUGCCGCGUGGGUGAAGAAGGUCUUCGGAUUGUAAAGCACUUUAAGUUGGGAGGCGUUACCUACAGAAUAAGCACCGGCUAACUUCGUGCCAGCAGCCGCGGUAAUAC
Molecule: ribosomal RNA, 407 nt
Filed under: uncultured bacterium
Lineage: Bacteria
Description: partial 16S ribosomal RNA
Rfam family: Bacterial small subunit ribosomal RNA
Source: RNAcentral